Molecule: ribosomal RNA, 276 nt
Filed under: uncultured Bacteroides sp.
Lineage: Bacteria; Pseudomonadati; Bacteroidota; Bacteroidia; Bacteroidales; Bacteroidaceae
Description: partial 16S ribosomal RNA
Rfam family: Bacterial small subunit ribosomal RNA
Source: RNAcentral
CAGCAUGGUCUUAGCUUGCUAAGGCCGAUGGCGACCGGCGCACGGGUGAGUAACACGUAUCCAACCUGCCGUCUACUCUUGGACAGCCUUCUGAAAGAAAGAUUAAUACCCGAUGGUAUAAUCAGACCGCAUGGUUUGAUUAUUAAAGAAUUUCGGUUAUCGAUGGGGAUGCGUUCCAUUAGGCAGUUGGUGAGGUAACGGCCCACCUAGUCUUCGAUGGAUAGGGGUUCUGAGAGGAAGGUCCCCACAUUGGAACUGAGACACGGUCCAAACUCC